GUCUGUGAUGCCCUUAGAUGUUCUGGGCCGCACGCGCGCUACACUGACGGGGCCAACGAGUCCAUUUCCUCGGCCGGAAGGCCCGGGUAAUCUUGUUAAACCCCGUCGUGCUGGGGAUAGGGCAUUGCAAUUAUUGCCCUUCAACGAGGAAUUCCUAGUAAGCGCAAGUCAUCAGCUUGCGUUGAUUACGUCCCUGCCCUUUGUACACACCGCCCGUCGCUACUACCGAUUGAAUGGCUUAGUGAGGCCUCCGGACUGGCCCAGGGUCGUUGGCAACGACAGCCCAGGGCCGGAAAGCUGGUCAAACUUGGUCAUUUAGAGGAAGUAAAAGUCGUAACAAGGUUUCCGUAGGUGAACCUGCGGAAGGAUCAUUACGAGUUUGGGGACUACGUCCCCGUUUUACUCCAACCCUUGUGAAUAUUUCCACGUUGCUUCGGCGGGCCCGCCCUCCGCGGCCUGGCUGCUCUCUCCCGAGUGGCUGGCGCGCCCGCCAGAAGACCCCUUUUCUCCGUCUUGGUGAAUGUCUGAAUAAAAACAAAAUAAAGUAAAACUUUCAACAACGGAUCUCUUGGUUCUCGCAUCGAUGAAGAACGCAGCGAAAUGCGAUAAGUAAUGUGAAUUGCAGAAUUCAGUGAAUCAUCGAAUCUUUGAACGCACAUUGCGCCCCUCGGUAUUCCGACGGGCACGCCUGCGUGAACGUCAUUUAAACGCUCGAGCCCGGCUCGGUGAUGGGGUUGGUCCGAGAGGACCUCCGCCCGCAAGCGAACGUAGUCGGAGGGAUGCGGCCCCGAGUAGUGAACACGCCUCGGACUCCGUCCCCGCCCCGACUUCUCUCCUAUCAAACUUGACUUCACGUCAGACGAGGUUACCCGCUGAACUUAAGCAUAUCAAUAAGCGGAGGAAAAGAAACCAACUGGGAUUGCCUCAGUAACGGCGAGUGAAGCGGCAAAAGCUCAAAUUUGAAAUCCGGCCUUUGGCCCGAAUUGUAAUUUGUAGAGGUGUCUUUGGCGUACGAGCAGGCCUACAUUCCUUGGAACAGGAUGGCGUAGAGGGUGAGAUCCCCGUCCACGGCCGGCGUCCGUCGCCAUGUAUAGACCUUUCGACGAGUCGAGUUGUUUGGGAAUGCAGCUCAAAUCGGGUGGUAAAUUUCAUCUAAAGCUAAAUACUGGCGAGAGACCGAUAGCGCACAAGUAGAGUGAUCGAAAGAUGAAAAGCACUUUGGAAAGAGAGUCAAACAGUACGUGAAAUUGUUGAAAGGGAAGCGCUUGCAAUCAGAUGCCCGCGGGGUUGAUCAUCGGUUCCUUCUGGGCCGUGCACUCUGCCCCGUCGGGGACGGCACCGGUCGGUGCGCCGGGACAAAGGCGGUGGGAAUGUGGCUCUCUUCGGGGAGUGUUAUAGCCCGCUGCGCAAUGCCGGCAGCUGCCGACCGAGGUCCGCGCUAUGCUAGGAUGCCGUCUUAAUGGUUGUCAGCGACCCGUCUUGAAACACGGACCAAGGAGUCUAACACCCGUGCGAGUGUUCGGGCGUAAAACCCAAACGCGAAAUGAAAGUGAACGGGGUGGGAACCCGCAAGGGCGCACCAUCGACCGAUCCUGAUGUCCUCGGAUGGAUUUGAGUAGGAGCACGGCUGUUGGGACCCGAAAGAUGGUGAACUAUGCCUGAAUAGGGUGAAGCCAGAGGAAACUCUGGUGGAGGCUCGCAGCGGUUCUGACGUGCAAAUCGAUCGUCGAAUUUGGGUAUAGGGGCGAAAGACUAAUCGWACYW
RNAcentral lists this ribosomal RNA (1764 nucleotides) under uncultured fungus. RNAcentral describes it as "bacterial SSU rRNA". The record is from RNAcentral. Lineage: Eukaryota; Fungi.